GUCAGAUGUACCUGUGGCCAGAGCAAGAAAGCAAACACAAGAAGAAGCACUGUUAAGUCGACCAAUCAAGUCCUCUGUCGUUCAGCCAUUGUCUGAACAUUUUGAAAACUUCUGAGUUUUUAUGAAUUGUUUUGAGGAGCUGACAGAUGCAGUCGUUGGCCCAGAUUUCAAGGAGACAACGUACCUCGCUGCUUGACCAAACCCUCCGGAAGAUGACGGCCUGGAAUAGGACCACCGGCUCCUUCCUCUGUUCAGCUAACACUCUCUAGGGGGGAAUUGUUUUUUUUGGUCCCAUUUCCCCUGCUGUGUGUGUAUAUUUUUGCUAUUUUUUUCCCCUCUCACCAACCAUUUGUUUCCUAACCCUAAUAAAGACACCCCAGCAGGGGUUUUUGGCACUAA
Paramormyrops kingsleyae is the source of this 399-nucleotide long non-coding RNA. RefSeq lists it as uncharacterized. The record is from RefSeq and is a predicted model, not a curated record. NCBI's taxonomy places the organism in Eukaryota, Metazoa, Chordata, Actinopteri, Osteoglossiformes, Mormyridae.